UAAUGCACUAAUGGAUCUUUAUAUUCCCAGGUUCCAAGGCUAAGAGUGUUGCUAUUCCUAAUAUGGUUUAUGAAAUGGAUGAACUUGAGGCUCUUGCAAGAAAUAUUUCAUUUGAGGAUGAAGACCUAGAUGAUGAUGAUCAUGAUGAUGGACUUGAGGCAUCGUUGUAAGCUUGUUGAUGAAGAUCUAGAUGAUAAUAAUGUACCAUGAAUGCUAUGAAUGUUUCUUAUUGUACUUGCUCCGUAAUGUUUUGUGACCUUGCGAACUUGGGAUUGUGGACUUGUGGCUUUGUGAACUUUAUGAUGAACUUGUUAUAUUGUGUACUUGUGUUCUUUGUGAUCAACUUAUCAUAUUGUGAACUUGUGAUCUAUGUUAUCAA
Molecule: long non-coding RNA, 379 nt
Organism: Zea mays
Lineage: Eukaryota; Viridiplantae; Streptophyta; Magnoliopsida; Poales; Poaceae
Exons: 2
Source: RefSeq, a predicted model, not a curated record